Molecule: ribosomal RNA, 497 nt
Filed under: uncultured bacterium
Lineage: Bacteria
Description: partial 16S ribosomal RNA
Rfam family: Bacterial small subunit ribosomal RNA
Source: RNAcentral
GAUGAACGCUGGCGGCGUGCCUAAUACAUGCAAGUCGAGCGAACGGACGAGAAGCUUGCUUCUCUGAUGUUAGCGGCGGACGGGUGAGUAACACGUGGAUAACCUACCUAUAAGACUGGGAUAACUUCGGGAAACCGGAGCUAAUACCGGAUAAUAUUUUGAACCGCAUGGUUCAAAAGUGAAAGACGGUCUUGCUGUCACUUAUAGAUGGAUCCGCGCUGCAUUAGCUAGUUGGUAAGGUAACGGCUUACCAAGGCAACGAUGCAUAGCCGACCUGAGAGGGUGAUCGGCCACACUGGAACUGAAACACGGUCCAGACUCCUACGGGAGGCAGCAGUAGGGAAUCGUCCGCAAUGGGCGAAAGCCUGACGGAGCAACGCCGCGUGAAUGAUGAAGGUCUUCGGAUCGUAAAACUCUGUUAUUAGGGAAGAACAUAUGUGUAAGUAACUGUGCACAUCUUGACGGUACCUAAUCAGAAAGCCACGGCUAACUACGUG